RNAcentral lists this ribosomal RNA (1862 nucleotides) under uncultured Entamoeba. RNAcentral describes it as "partial 18S ribosomal RNA". It matches the Rfam family "Eukaryotic small subunit ribosomal RNA". Lineage: Eukaryota; Evosea; Mastigamoebida; Endamoebidae. The record is from RNAcentral.
UGUUAAAGAUUAAGCCAUGCAUGUGUAAGUAUAAAGACCAAGAAGGAUGAAACUGCGGACGGCUCAGUACAACAGUUAUAGUCACUUUGGUUAUAAAGAUAAGGAUAACUCUGUUAAUUGUAGAGCUAACACUUGAGAAGAUCUUGUGUGGCGGUCACACAGCACACGAGAAGUCUCGCAAGCGAGACGGCAAACUAUCCCAGAUUCCUCGGGGAAUUGGUGAAGAGUGGGAUUGGGACAAUUGAAGUGUUCAGGGAACAACAAGUAACCAAUGGAAAUAUCUGACCUAUCAACUAGAUGGUAAGGUAGAGGCUUACCAUGGUGAUCACGGGUAACGAGAAAUCAGGGUUUGACAUCGGAGAGGGAGCAAGAGAAACGGCUACCACUUCCAAGGAAGGCAGCAGGCGCGAAAAUUACCCACUUCAAACACUGAGAGGUAGUGACGACAAAUAACUAAAGACCUGCACAAGUGUAGGAAUUUAAGGAAUGACCCUGCGGUAAAGCAGCAGGGGAAAGCGAUUAGAGGGCAAGUUUCGGUGCCAGCAGCCGCGGUAAUUCCGACUCUAAUAGUGUAUAGUAAAGUUGUUGUGAUUAAAAAGCUCGUAGUUGAAAGCGACAUAGAAUGGCAGCGGUGAGCUAGUCCUUUGGGACACAGUAAAGCGAUGCUAGAUUCUAGGAAAGCCUGGUGUCGGUGAUCAGUCACGGGCAUUGGGAGAUUUACUUUGAAGAAAGGUGAGUGCUCAAAGCAAGACAGAAGUCAAUGCAACUUGAAGCAUGGGAUAAUACUAAGGAGAUUGCGGAAGCCCCCAACGGGGGAGGAAGCAAUAGCGAGAGAAGGAUUGAUAGAAAGAGAGAGAGGUGAUUUAUACGAAAAUGGGAGAGGUGGAAAUCCAUGAUCAUUUUAGGAUAAACAAAAGCGAAAGCAUUUCACUAGAAACUAUUCAUUAAUCAAGAACGAAAGUUAGGGGAUCGAAGACGAUUAGAUACCGUCGUAGUCCUAACUAUAAACGAUGUCGACGAAGGAUUGGAAUGACCAAAACCCUGGGGACUCACAACGUGAGAAACCCCGGGGACUAGAAACUCAGACCAGGACUUGAAGAGAAAUCUCGAGUGAAUGGACUUCAGGGGGAGUAUGCUCGCAAGUGUGGAACUUAAAGGAAUUGACGGAAGGGCACACCAGGAGUGGAGCCUGCGGCUUAAUUUGACUCAACACGGGAAAACUUACCAAGACCAAACGCAUAGAGGAGUGACAGACUAAGGGAUUUUUCAUGAUCAUGUGAGGAGUGGUGCAUGGCCGUUCUUAGUUGGUGGAGUGAUUUGUCAGGUUGAUUCCGAUAACGAACGAGACUCUGAUCUCUAAUUCGAUGGAGGCGCAUCUGUGCCUGCAGCAGCAAUGCCCACUAUGGUGGUCCACUUAGAGAGACAUGCUUCAAUUUUCAAGCACUUGCCAUGUUCCGACAUGAGCAAGCUGUGCGAAGAAGAAGCAGGAAGAUGAGCAAUAACAGGUCUGUGAUGCCCUUAGACAUCUUGGGCUGCACGCGUGCUACAAUAGUCAUGAUAGAGGGCGGAAUGGCGGGAACCAUGAAACGCAAGUAGAAUGCACAGCAUUGGAAAGCGGGCCAUGCCUGCACACCGAGGCCGAAAGGCCAAGGGAAGCCCGAAAAGUGACUGUAACAGGGAUUGAUGAUUGGAAUUAUUUGUCAUGAACGAGGAAUUCCUUGUAAAAUUUUGUCACUAACAAAAGUUGAAUACGUCCCUGCCCUUUGUACACACCGCCCGUCGCUCCUACCGAUUGAAUAAAAAGAUGAAGCUUUAGGAGGCAACACGAUUGCCAAAUGGAUCUAAAUCUCUUUAUUUAGAGG